Molecule: long non-coding RNA, 584 nt
Filed under: Hordeum vulgare
Lineage: Eukaryota; Viridiplantae; Streptophyta; Magnoliopsida; Poales; Poaceae
Description: long non-coding RNA (HVUL_LNC003574)
Source: RNAcentral
CCACAAGGAAACUAACCAUCUUAGGUACACUCAGUUUACAGAAUUUUGCAUCUUAAGUUACCUCAAUAACUCGCUUCUACUUCCUGCAGAAAAAAAAUUGCUUCACUAGCUCCAAAUAAAAUAUAGCUUGCUUCAUAUCACUCAAAAAUUACAUCACCUAAAAGUUCUCACAUUCAAAUAUUCGCCAAAAUAUGCACACUAAAAUAUUUCAUGGAAAAUGUCAGCUGUUCUAUAUACUGUAAAUCUAUAUUUAUAUGUUGCUUUAUUAUUUUUUGUAGAUCAUCUUGUUGAUUGUGUUUUGUGCAGAUUGUUUGUCCAUAUUUUUCCAUCUGUCAUUACAAAUAUAUUGUUUUGCUCAGAUGACAUUUAACUAAUGAAAUGUGUGUAUUUAUUAUUUCAUUAUUUCAAAAGUAAAGGGUAUGUACCUCGAAUUAAUACAAUCUUCGAUAUUUUUUGCCUGUCUCCCUUCAAUUAUCGAACAUGUUUAAAUUUCGUCUCUUCACCCUCUAAAUGUAUUUUUUGAAGUUUAUUGCAUUCAUCUGAGUUGACAUUUGUUUUGUUACAUGCAUUGGUUACAUUNNNNN